AGAUUGAACGCUGGCGGCAUGCCUAACACAUGCAAGUCGAACGGGAGUAGCAAUACUCUAGUGGCGGACGGGUGAGGAAUACGUAGGAAUUUGCCCUUAAGUGGGGGAUAACCCGGGGAAACCCGGAUUAAUACCGCAUGACCUCGAAAGAGCAAAGUGGGGGAUCGCAAGACCUCACGCUUUUGGAGAAGCCUACGUCGGAUUAGCUAGUUGGUGAGGUAAUGGCUCACCAAGGCGACGAUCCGUAACUGGUCUGAGAGGAUGAUCAGUCACACCGGAACUGAGACACGGUCCGGACUCCUACGGGAGGCAGCAGUGGGGAAUAUUGGACAAUGGGCGCAAGCCUGAUCCAGCAAUGCCGCGUGUGUGAAGAAGGCCUUGGGUUGUAAGCACUUUAAGUUAGGGAA
Molecule: ribosomal RNA, 407 nt
Filed under: uncultured soil bacterium
Lineage: Bacteria
Description: bacterial SSU rRNA
Rfam family: Bacterial small subunit ribosomal RNA
Source: RNAcentral